Molecule: ribosomal RNA, 346 nt
Filed under: uncultured bacterium
Lineage: Bacteria
Description: partial 16S ribosomal RNA
Rfam family: Bacterial small subunit ribosomal RNA
Source: RNAcentral
CCUACGGGUGGCAGCAGUGAGGAAUAUUGGUCAAUGGCCGUAAGGCUGAACCAGCAAAGUCGCGUGAAGGAAGAAGGAUCUAUGGUUUGUAAACUUCUUUUAUCGGGGAAUAAAGGUAUCCACGUGUGGAUAUUUGCAUGUACCCUAUGAAUAAGCAUCGGCUAACUCCGUGCCAGCAGCCGCGGUAAUUCGGAGGAUGCGAGCGUUAUCCGGAUUUAUUGGGGUUAAAGGGUGCGUAGGUUUUUUUUUAAGUCAGCGGUGAAAGUUUGUGGCUCAACCAUAAAAUUGCCGUUGAAAAUGGAAGACUUGAGUGUGUUUGAGGUAGGAGGAAUGCGUGGUGUAGCGG